RNAcentral lists this long non-coding RNA (923 nucleotides) under Ananas comosus (pineapple). Its description in RNAcentral is "long non-coding RNA (ACOM_LNC039376)". The record is from RNAcentral. Lineage: Eukaryota; Viridiplantae; Streptophyta; Magnoliopsida; Poales; Bromeliaceae.
CACACCACCAUCACCCGCACGCAUGGAGAGGGGAGAGUAACCCUCCUUCCUCUCUCUAGAUAUCUCUCUCAUCUCUCUAAAUCUCUCUCUAAAAAUUGGAGGGUUGGUGGAGAAGAUGCUUACGAACGCGUUGGGAGCGACGGAUCGGGCUUUCGUGCGGCCGUUGGAGCGGUGUGUGGUCGUCGCGGCGUUCACUUUGAGGUAAGCUUUUAGGAUUUGGCUUAAUCCUUAAUUCUAAGUGUUCUAAUAGCCUCUAAUGAGCAUUCUAAACAUGUUUGCUCCAUUUAAUUUGGAUUAUUUGGAGAUUAAUUCAUGUUAGGCUUAGAAAAUGGGGUUUUGUAGAAUAUGAGGGUUUGAUCUCAUUUGACCCUCCGUAAACCAAAUUGCUAGGUAAACGAACGCGUUGGCGAAGACGGUUCGGCAAUCCGACGAGCCGUUAAAAAGUUAUUAAAGAAAUGGAUGUUUAGGCUUCGGGUCCGCCGGGAGGGCCGAGGCGAUAUCGUAAAUUCAUGAAAACGGAUUUGAAGCAUCGUACCAAGAAACCGAAGACCUUUAAUUUUCAGAUUGCGGAUCGGAGGUCGUUUGGUGGUCGCGCGCGGAUUGGGUCAAGCCGAGCGGCGUGCGCCGCGGGAGGCCGAUUGCAAGUGACGACGAGCAAUCGGAACGCAAUAAAAGGUGGGGGAGUGCCAUCCCGAAGUCAUCGGGCUUCUUCCUAUGUCUUAGUGUUUAUCCGUUCACAUGUAGCAUAUUGUAUGUUGCUAUGCAUUAUAGGAUGACAAUACAUGCAUUCCUAAUCCUUAUAUGAUGUUUAUGAUCAAUAUAGUAUUAUGAUAUGGAUAUAUGAUGUGAUGGACAUAAGGAUUAUGAGAUGACAUUGGUAAACCUAUGAUGCUAAAUGAAAGAAGAACCUAGUGUUGUGUUUU